Molecule: ribosomal RNA, 389 nt
Filed under: uncultured bacterium
Lineage: Bacteria
Description: partial 16S ribosomal RNA
Rfam family: Bacterial small subunit ribosomal RNA
Source: RNAcentral
AUACGUAGGGGGCGAGCGUUGUCCGGAAUGAUUGGGCGUAAAGGGCGCGUAGGCGGCCCGGUAAGUCUGGAGUGAAAGUCCUGUUUUUAAGAUGGGAAUUGCUUUGGAUACUGUCGGGCUUGAGUGCAGGAGAGGUAAGUGGAAUUCCCAGUGUAGCGGUGAAAUGCGUAGAGAUUGGGAGGAACACCAGUGGCGAAGGCGACUUACUGGACUGUAACUGACGCUGAGGCGCGAAAGUGUGGGGAGCAAACAGGAUUAGAUACCCUGGUAGUCCACACUGUAAAGGAUGAAUGCUAGGUGUAGGGGGUAUCGACCCCUUCUGUGCCGCAGUCAACACAAUAAGCAUUCCGCCUGGGGAGUACGGCCGCAAGGUUGAAACUCAAAUGAAU